This 630-nucleotide long non-coding RNA is filed under the name Carica papaya (papaya). Its description in RNAcentral is "long non-coding RNA (CPAP_LNC004497)". The record is from RNAcentral. Lineage: Eukaryota; Viridiplantae; Streptophyta; Magnoliopsida; Brassicales; Caricaceae.
CCUUCAAGUUCAUUCAACUAUCCAAAUUUGCCCAAGAGAUCAUACCUACCAAAAAUAAGAAGGCCUUGAAGUUUCUUAAGGGUCUAAGGGUCGACAUCUUCAACCUAGUGGCCAUGAUGAGGCCAAACAUCUAAGUUGAAGCCCUCAAGCAUGCCUAGUUGGCUGACAAACUUCUUGCCACCCAUUACGGGCGCAUUCAUAAUGUCAUAGCAGAACACCCAGAAUGGCUCUUACCAUAAUUACUACCCCACCUUCACCUCUUAGUAAUCCUUCUCAACAUGCUUAGACAUGUUAGUACUGUGGUCAAGACCAUAGUAACUGACCUUGCUAUAUGUUGAUCAAUGCUUGGUAUAAGUGUGGUAGUACAUAACAUUUCGUGAAGGACUGUCCCAAAAUGUUUAGGGAUACUACGAAACCUGUUGCCAGAGGAAGGUUGACGCAGAAGGGUAUCAAAAGGAUCAUUUUGAUUCCCCAAACCUCAACCCAGUCGCAUGCAAUAUCAAAACUCAAACUGUCUAAUUAAAAUCCAUCCCGCUAACUAAAUUCACAACCCUAAAAUUAGGAAUAUAAAAACAAAAACUAGGGAAAUAAAAAUGAGAAAAAGAAGGACACCCUACUUACCUGAUAAGU